This 76-nucleotide non-coding RNA is filed under the name unclassified sequences. The record is from RNAcentral.
UGCCGCGCCGUGCCGGGUAGUAGUAAUGCCCCGAAUGUUACGAUUGAAGUACAUUGACAACACGUAGCGCGGUUUU